Molecule: small nucleolar RNA, 134 nt
Filed under: Echinops telfairi (small Madagascar hedgehog)
Lineage: Eukaryota; Metazoa; Chordata; Mammalia; Afrosoricida; Tenrecidae
Description: Small nucleolar RNA SNORA30/SNORA37 family (ENSETEG00000023505.1)
Source: RNAcentral
CCAGGACUUUUCACAGGUCCUUCCCCUGGCUGUGGCAUCAGGACUUGGUAGCUGGUGCUGAGAGAAAACUCCUGGGUUGCAUCUUUGCCCUGGGGCUGUGCCACUUGUAGCUGUCUGAAUGUAUGGAGAGAGCG